RNAcentral lists this ribosomal RNA (253 nucleotides) under uncultured bacterium. RNAcentral describes it as "partial 16S ribosomal RNA". It matches the Rfam family "Bacterial small subunit ribosomal RNA", at positions 524 to 776 of the family's 1533-position model. The record is from RNAcentral.
UACAGAGGUCCCAAGCGUUGUUCGGAUUCAUUGGGCGUAAAGGGUGCGUAGGCGGCGCGGUAAGUCGGGUGUGAAAUCUCGGGGCUUAACUCCGAAACUGCAUUCGAUACUGCCGUGCUUGAGGACUGGAGAGGAGACUGGAAUUUACGGUGUAGCGGUGAAAUGCGUAGAUAUCGUAAGGAACACCCGUGGCGAAGGCGGCUCUCUGGGACGUGACUGACGCUGAGACGCGAAAGCGUGGGGAGCGAACAGG